AUUCAGCUGACGAGUCCCAAAUAAGACGGAACGUUCGUCCUAGAU
This 45-nucleotide non-coding RNA is filed under the name Schistosoma mansoni. The record is from RNAcentral. Lineage: Eukaryota; Metazoa; Platyhelminthes; Trematoda; Strigeidida; Schistosomatidae.